CGGGUGAGUAACACGUGAGGAACCUGCCCCGAAGACCGGGAUAACGCUCCGAAAGGAACGCUAAUACCGGAUACCUUCACCGGAUCGCAUGAUCUGGUGACGAAAUGGAUUCCGCUUCGGGAGGGUCUCGCGGCCUAUCAGCUUGUUGGUGGGGUAAUGGCCCACCAAGGCUUCGACGGGUAGCUGGUCUGAGAGGACGAUCAGCCACACUGGGACUGAGACACGGCCCAG
RNAcentral lists this ribosomal RNA (231 nucleotides) under uncultured bacterium. RNAcentral describes it as "partial 16S ribosomal RNA". It matches the Rfam family "Bacterial small subunit ribosomal RNA", at positions 103 to 334 of the family's 1533-position model. The record is from RNAcentral.